This 275-nucleotide ribosomal RNA is filed under the name uncultured bacterium. Its description in RNAcentral is "partial 16S ribosomal RNA". It matches the Rfam family "Bacterial small subunit ribosomal RNA", at positions 338 to 628 of the family's 1533-position model. The record is from RNAcentral.
CCUACGGGGGGCUGCAGUGGGGAAUAUUGCACAAUGGGCGCAAGCCUGAUGCAGCAACGCCGCGUGAGUGAAGAAGGCCUUCGGGUCGUAAAGCUCUGUCCUCUGGGACGAAUGAAAUGACGGUACCAGAGGAGGAAGCCCCGGCUAACUACGUGCCAGCAGCCGCGGUAAUACGUAGGGGGCAAGCGUUAUCCGGAAUCACUGGGCGUAAAGGGUGCGUAGGCGGCCUGUCAAGUCAGAGGUGAAAGGCAAUGGCUUAACCAUUGUAAGCCUUU